AGACAGGAAGAGGCGGAGCAAAGACGAGAGUUUCAACGUCAUUUUCCAGAAGUGAAAGUGUGAGAGAGCAGCACCAGAGCUGCAGUCGAGUCCCGUUUGUCUCUAAAAGAAUAUUCACCAGACUCCAUCAGGUUUCUGUCAGCAACAGUGAUUGCAGACAUGUCUGCUGCCAGCAAUAUGCGAUCUGAAGAUCAGUUUCUGUGCUCCAUCUGUCUGGAUGUGUUCACUGAUCCAGUCACUACACCAUGUGGACACAACUUCUGCAAAACCUGCAUCAGUCAGCACUGGGACACGAAUCAGAGGUGUCAGUGCCCCAUGUGUAAAGAGACUUUCUACACUAGACCUCAGCUGAGGGUCAACACCUUCAUCUCUGGGAUGGUCACUCAGUUCAGACGUGAAGUUCAGCAGACAGCCAGCAGCAGCAGCUCGGAGAAACAAGCUGCCAAACCAGGAGAAGUUCCCUGUGACUUCUGCACUGGAACCAGACUGAAGGCCCUGAAGUCCUGCCUUGUCUGUCUGACCUCCUACUGUCAGACUCACCUGGAGCCUCAUCAGACAAAGGAAGGUCUGAAAAGACAUCAGCUGAUUGAUGCUGUAGAGAAGCUGGAAGGCAGGAUGUGUACGAAGCACGAUAAACUUCUGGAGCUGUUCUGUAAGACUGACCAGAAAUGUGUCUGUGCGCUUUGCUCUGUUUUAGAGCACAAGAACCACAAGGUUGUUCCUCUGAAAGAAGAAUAUGAAGUAAAGAAGGCAGAGCUGGGGAAGACAGAGGCUGAGAUUCAGCAAAUGAUCCAGAAGAGACGACUGAAAAUUCAGGAGAUCAAAGAGUCGGUGAAGAUGAGUAAAGGUGCUGCACACAGACAGAAAGCAGAAGGUGUUCAGAUCUUCAAUGCUCUAAAGAAGUCUGUUGAGAGACUCCUGAAGGAGCUCAUAAAGGAGAUCGAAGACAAACAGGAAACUACAGAGAAACAGGCUGAAGGUCUCAUCAAAGAGCUGGAACAGGAAAUCUCUGAGCUGAUGGAGAGAAGUUCUAAGGUGGAGCAACUCUCAUGCUCUGAAGACCACCUCCACCUCCUCCAAAGCUUCUCCUCCCUGAAAGCUGCUCCACCCACCAAGGGCUGGACAGAGGUUAGAGUCCGUCCACCAUCAUAUGAGGGGACUGUGGGGAGAGCUGUGGCUAAGAUGGAGGAGACACUCUGGAAACCCAUGAAGAAGAAACUGUUUGAGGCUGAGCUGAAGAGGGUCCAGCAGUAUGCAGUGGAUGUGACUCUGGAUCCUGAUACAGCUCAUGCUAAACUCAUCCUGUCUGAUGAUGGAAAACAAGUUUAUCACAGGGAUGUGAAGAAGAAACUUCCAGACAACCCAGGGAGAUUUUCUUACUGUGCUAUGGUUUUAGGAGAGCAGAGUUUCUCUUCAGGCAGAUUUUACUUUGAGGUUCAGGUUAAAGGAAAGACUGAGUGGACUUUAGGAGUGGCCAGAGAGACGAUCAACAGGAAGGGAAAAAUCACACUGAGUCCUCAGAAUGGUUUCUGGACUGUAUGGCUGAGAAAUGGAAAUGAGUACAGUGCUUGUGAUAACUCUUUAGUCCGCCUCUGUCUACAUCCUGGUCCUGAGAAGGUGGGGGUGUUUGUGGAUUAUGAGGAGGGUCUGGUCUCCUUUUAUGAUGUAGGUGCUGCAGCUCUGAUCUACUCCUUUACUGGCUACUCCUUCACUCAGAAACUCCACCCAUUCUUCGAACCCUGUCUGAAUGAUGGAGGUUCCACAUGUCACAGUUGAAGUGGGGCAUUAAUCAGUGUGACACCACUUGAAAACAUGCUGCAUGUGUGGGGGUUCCCAGCCAGAGCUGCAUGGACUCCACACUGGUAAGGCACACUUUCUGUAGCUCCUCUCCCGGUAAUAAAUUAUAUGUUUAAAUCUGGUGUAUUUUUCUUUACUAUUAGUUCUCAUGGCUAAAGUGUUUUUGAUUACUUUGAACGAGGAAAAUAGUAAUUGGAACUGCCUUUUAUCUGUUACACCAUCCACUUAUGUGUUCCUUACUUGUGCUAAACAGGGAUGAGGAGAGGCCUGCUGUUGCUGUGUGACACGGAUUUUGCUCCUGCACUUUGUCUUUUAGGCAUGUGUAAAUGUAUAGGUUUUGUUUCAUGUGUAUAAUGAGUUCAUGAUCUGAGGCUGCACACUGAAUAGUAUUUUCAGGCAUGUUGGGAAAAGUUACAGUUGUUUGAAAAUGUAUUGUGUAAUUGAUCCAUCUUAGUGGGAAUUUAAAUAUUACAAGUUAUUAUUAGUGGCUUAUUUUUGACUACACCUUGCUUCAUAUUUGUCUCUGUUUUACCCCACUAUUACAUUUUAUUUUAAAGUGGCUGUUGAGAGAAACCACACCGUUGUUUUGAUAGAUUGUACUUUCUUUUAUAUAUUUUGAGCAGAGCUGCAUGGACUCCACACUGGGAUGAGGAAAGGCCUGCUGUUUCUGUGUGGCACUGAUUUUGCUGCUGCACUUUGUCUUUUAGAAAAUAAAUCCAGCCAGUCUGUGUCUGUCGUCACAACGCAGUCUUCCAUUUGAUAUCUGCUACAUAAAAGUGACCGUGCCCAGAUUCAUCUGAUCAGCCGCUGCCGAUCGCUGAGGUUGAGCUGGACACUUCUGACACCUGUGAUAUCAGCCAAAUUAUCUUGAGAAGUGUGGAGCGCCAGACAGCAGCCAGCAUGAGGAGUGCUGAGACACGGGAGCGGAGAGCACAAAGCCACGGACUUUUUAGGGAAAGAAAUGGAGAGCAUGGGGAUUUAUUGUCAUUUUUUCCACUUUCUGUAAAUAAACGCACUGCUAAUAUUCAGAGCUCCGCGCCUGGGUCCUCCUUCCUCAUAUCCCCACGGUUUGCCCUGGCAAACCUUGACAGUAUAGAGAGACAGAAUGAUUGCGGCAGUUAGUUUUUCACAGACAAACUCAUAGUUUGAAUUCUGUUCAAAUUGCUGGCUG
This is an RNA transcript of Oreochromis niloticus (Nile tilapia), 2968 nucleotides long. It is a transcript of the gene named E3 ubiquitin-protein ligase TRIM39, with no coding region annotated. The record is from RefSeq and is a predicted model, not a curated record. NCBI's taxonomy places the organism in Eukaryota, Metazoa, Chordata, Actinopteri, Cichliformes, Cichlidae. The transcript is spliced from 4 exons.